AUACUGACUAGGGUGACCAGUUGUCUGUCUUUAUGAAGGACUGCAGAGCAUUUUUAUAAAAAUAAGGCUUUUAUUGCCCAACAGGGAAACUUGUAACUCACCAUAAAGUCACAGGCUCUGCAAAUUUCUGUGAAUAGGAUCAAAACCAUCACAAAGCAAAUUAAGUGAGAAUAUUAUUUUCAGUUUUGCACAGUACGGUACGUUGCUGUGCAAAGGUUUUGAACCACCCCUCAUUUUGUGAUAUUUCCCUAGAGAAAUGGGAAAUGGAUGCAGCAAUUUGUUGAAAUAUCCAUACAUGGAACUAUACGUGAACUGCAACACCACUGGCUGAAAUGGAGACUGGGUCAACUGAAGUGCUGGAUGCAUCUCUCAGGCACCAUCAGUAGCACAGGAACAGAGCAGGAGGGAGCGAGAAAGAGAGCCAGGGGCAACAACAAGCGACAACAUCGUCACAUUACAGGGAGUGCAGAAUUAUUAGGCAAAUGAGUAUUUUGUCCACAUCAUCCUCUUCAUGCAUGUUGUCUUACUCCAAGCUGUAUAGGCUCAAAAGCCUACUACCAAUUAAGCAUAUUAGGUGAUGUGCAUCUCUGUAAUGAGAAGGGGUGUGGUCUAAUGACAUCAACACCCUAUAUCAGGUGUGCAUAAUUAUUAGGCAACGUCCUUUCCUUUGGCAAAAUGGGUCAAAAGAAGGACUUGACCGGCUCAGAAAAGUCAAAAAUAGUGAGAUAUCUUGCAGAGGGAUGCAGCAGUCUCAAAAUUGCAAAGCUUCUGAAGUGUGAUCAUCGAACAAUCAAGCGUUUCAUUCAAAAUAGUCAACAGGGUCGCAAGAAGCGUGUGGAAAAACCAAGGCGCCAAAUAACUGCCCAUGAACUGAGAAAAGUCAAGCGUGCAGCUGCCAAGAUGCCACUUGCCACCAGUUUGGCCAUAUUUCAGAGCUGCAACAUCACUGGAGUGCCCAAAAGCACAAGGUGUGCAAUACUCAGAGACAUGGCCAAGGUAAGAAAGGCUGAAAGACGACCACCACUGAACAAGACACACAAGCUGAAACGUCAAGACUGGGCCAAGAAACAUCUCAAGACUGGUUUUUCUAAGGUUUUAUGGACUGAUGAAAUGAGAGUGAGUCUUGAUGGGCCAG
Astatotilapia calliptera (eastern happy) is the source of this 1135-nucleotide long non-coding RNA. The record is from Ensembl. Lineage: Eukaryota; Metazoa; Chordata; Actinopteri; Cichliformes; Cichlidae.